This 1307-nucleotide ribosomal RNA is filed under the name metagenome. RNAcentral describes it as "SSU rRNA". It matches the Rfam family "Eukaryotic small subunit ribosomal RNA", at positions 3 to 1249 of the family's 1831-position model. The record is from RNAcentral.
CCUGGUUGAUCCUGCCAGUAGUCAUAUGCUUGUCUCAAAGAUUAAGCCAUGCAUGUGUAAGUAUAAGCAUUUAUACGGCGAAACUGCGAAUGGCUCAUUAAAUCAGUAAUAGUUUAUUUGAUAGUACCUUACUACUUGGAUAACCGUGGUAAUUCUAGAGCUAAUACAUGCUAAAAAUCCUGACUAAGGGCAACCUUGGAAGGGAUGUAUUUAUUAGAUUAAAAACCAAUACCGGGGCAACUCGGUUUUUUAGGUGAUUCAUAAUAACUUUGCGAAUCGUAUGGCUUUACGCUGACGAUGAUUCAUUCAAAUUUCUGCCCUAUCAACUGGAUGGUAGGAUAGAGGCCUACCAUGGUUGUAACGGGUAACGGAGGAUUAGGGUUCGAUUCCGGAGAGGGAGCAUGAGAAACGGCUACCACAACUAAGGUUAGGCAGCAGGCGCGCAAAUUACCCAAUCCCGACACGGGGAGGUAGUGACAAGAAAUAACAAUACAGGGCUAUUUUGGUCUUGUAAUUGGAAUGAGAACAUUUUUAAUCCCUUAUCGAGGAUCAAUUGGAGGGCAAGUCUGGUGCCAGCAGCCGCGGUAAUUCCAGCUCCAAUAGCGUAUAUUAAAGUUGCUGCAGUUAAAAAGCUCGUAGUUGGAUUUUGGACUUGCUUCGAUAAAAACUGGAGGACAAACGUAGGGGGUUAACUCUUGCGUUUGCUUUCCUCCUUUUCCGGUCGUGUCGCAAGGCAUGUUUACUGGCGGAGCAGGUCUUCUUUCUGAAGAUCUGGCAUGUUCUUUACUGGAUGUGUCAGGGAUUCAGGACUUUUACUUUGAAAAAAUUAGAGUGUUCAAAGCAGGCUUUUAUGCUUGAAUAUCUCAGCAUGGAAUAAUAAAAGAAGACUUUGGUCUUAUUUUGUUGGUUUCUGGGACCGAGGUAAUGAUUAAUAGGGAUAGUUGGGGUGGUUCGUAUUUAAUUGUCAGAGGUGAAAUUCUUGGAUUUAUGAAAGACGAACUUCUGCGAAAGCAUUCCACAAGGAUGUUUUCAUUAAUCAAGAACGAAAGUUAGGGGAUCGAAGACGAUCAGAUACCGUCGUAGUCUUAACCAUAAACUAUGCCGACUAGGGAUCAGCGGAUGUUAUUUUAACGACUCCGUUGGCACCUUAUGAGAAAUCAAAGUUUUUGGGUUCCGGGGGAAGUAUGGUCGCAAGGCUGAAACUUAAAGGAAUUGACGGAAGGGCACCACCAGGAGUGGAGCCUGCGGCUUAAUUUGACAACACGGGGAAACUCACCAGGUCCAGACAUGGGAAGGAUUGACAGACC